CGCUGGCGGCGUGCCUAACACAUGCAAGUCGAACGUCCUUCCUCUCGCAAGAGGGGGAGGCAGUGGCGGACGGGUGAGUAGCACAUGGGUGACCUGCCUUCCAGUGAGGAAUACCGGCGAGAAAUCGCCGACAAUGCCGCAUAGGCUCCUGUGCCCGCGAGGGCAGAGGAGCAAAGCUCCGCAAGGGGCGCUGGAAGAGGGGCCCGUGGCCGAUUAGCUGGUUGGUGGGGUAAAAGCCUACCAAGGCGACGAUCGGUAGCUGGUCUGAGAGGACGAUCAGCCACACUGGGAUUGAGAACGGCCCAGACUCCUACGGGGGGCAGCAGUGAGGAAUUUUCCGCAAUGGGCGCAAGCCUGACGGAGCAACGCCGCGUGCAGGACGACGGUCUUCGGAUUGUAAACUGCUUUUCCCAGGGACGAGUUUGGACGGUACCUGGGGAACAAGCCCCGGCUAACUACGUGCCAGCAGCCGCGGUAAUACGUAGGGGGCAAGCGUUGUCCGGAGUUACUGGGCGUAAAGCGCCCGCAGGCGGUCGGCC
Molecule: ribosomal RNA, 539 nt
Filed under: uncultured bacterium
Lineage: Bacteria
Description: bacterial SSU rRNA
Rfam family: Bacterial small subunit ribosomal RNA
Source: RNAcentral